Molecule: non-coding RNA, 75 nt
Organism: Streptomyces hygroscopicus
Lineage: Bacteria; Bacillati; Actinomycetota; Actinomycetes; Kitasatosporales; Streptomycetaceae
Source: Rfam
CUUGAUGGAGCCGAGCCACAGCGGCCGCCCGUCCGGCCGGUCCUGUCCGUACGUGGCCAGCAGCGCCUGCGCCUC